Molecule: small nuclear RNA, 127 nt
Organism: Impatiens glandulifera
Lineage: Eukaryota; Viridiplantae; Streptophyta; Magnoliopsida; Ericales; Balsaminaceae
Source: RefSeq, a predicted model, not a curated record
GUGUUUGUAGAAAGGAGAGAUGGUUGACAUCUCCCCGACCGGGACGGGAAUGGCUUUCGGGCCUUACCUAUUACCACAUAUCCGGUUAAGGCUAUCCACUUCGGUGGAUAUAUAACCCAAUUUUUUA